UACAGAGGGUGCGAGCGUUGUUCGGAAUUAUUGGGCGUAAAGGGCGCGUAGGCGGUGCCACAAGUCACUUGUGAAAUCCCCGGGCUUAACUCGGGGCCUGCAGGCGAAACUGUGGUGCUGGAGUAUGGGAGAGGCCAGUGGAAUUGCAGGUGUAGCGGUGAAAUGCGUAGAUAUCUGCAGGAACACCCGUGGCGAAGGCGGCUGGCUGGACCGCAACUGACACUGAGGAACGAAAGCUAGGGGAGCAAACAGG
This 253-nucleotide ribosomal RNA is filed under the name uncultured prokaryote. Its description in RNAcentral is "partial 16S ribosomal RNA". It matches the Rfam family "Bacterial small subunit ribosomal RNA", at positions 524 to 776 of the family's 1533-position model. The record is from RNAcentral.